CCAACAGAGGAAGCACCGGCUAACNGCCGUGCCAGCAGCCGCGGUAAUACGGGGGGUGCGAGCGUUGUUCGGAAUUAUUGGGCGUAAAGAGCGUGUAGGCGGCCGGAUGUGUCAGAUGUGAAAGCCCUGGGCUUAACCCAGGAAGUGCAUUUGAAACUGUCCGGCUUGAGUAGGGGAGAGGGAAGUGGAAUCCCUGGUGUAGAGGUGAAAUUCGUAGAUAUCAGGAGGAACACCGGUGGCGAAGGCGACUUCCUGGCCCUAUACUGACGCUGAGACGCGAGAGCGUGGGUAGCAAACAGGAUUAGAUACCCUGGUAGUCCACGCCGUAAACGAUGUUCACUAGGUGUUGGGGGUAUUGACCCCCUCAGUGCCGGAGCUAACGCAUUAAGUGAACCGCCUGGGGAGUACGGUCGCAAGACUAAAACUCAAAGGAAUUGACGGGGGCCCGCACAAGCGGUGGAGCAUGUGGUUUAAUUCGAUGCAACGCGAAGAACCUUACCUGGGCUUGACAUCCACGG
This 518-nucleotide ribosomal RNA is filed under the name uncultured delta proteobacterium. RNAcentral describes it as "bacterial SSU rRNA". It matches the Rfam family "Bacterial small subunit ribosomal RNA", at positions 478 to 993 of the family's 1533-position model. The record is from RNAcentral. Lineage: Bacteria; Deltaproteobacteria.